Molecule: ribosomal RNA, 253 nt
Filed under: uncultured bacterium
Lineage: Bacteria
Description: partial 16S ribosomal RNA
Rfam family: Bacterial small subunit ribosomal RNA
Source: RNAcentral
UACAGAGGUGGCAAGCGUUGUUCGGAAUUACUGGGCGUAAAGGGCGCGUAGGCGGUCUUGCAAGUCCUGUGUGAAAUCCCUCGGCUUAACCGGGGAACUGCGUCUGAUACUGGAUGGCUUGAAUCCGGGAGAGGGAUGCGGAAUUCCAGGUGUAGCGGUGAAAUGCGUAGAUAUCUGGAGGAACACCGGUGGCGAAGGCGGCAUCCUGGACCGGCAUUGACGCUGAGGAGCGAAAGCCAGGGGAGCAAACGGG